Molecule: long non-coding RNA, 1368 nt
Organism: Triticum dicoccoides
Lineage: Eukaryota; Viridiplantae; Streptophyta; Magnoliopsida; Poales; Poaceae
Exons: 4
Source: RefSeq, a predicted model, not a curated record
UCCGCAGACCGAUGGGUAGGAACGUGCAGCCGGAUUGGCCAACCCUAUCCAUCAAUCCCCUCUGCCUCCAGCCUCGCAUCCCUCCUCCCCUGCCCCCGUCCACAGUGAUGAGCGGCUAGGCCGCAUCCACAAGAGUAGCAUAUGGGCCAUUGCAGCCACCAUCGGGAGCGGCCGCCUCCUCUCCUCUCCACCACCAGUGAAUGGCGCGGUGUAGGGAGCAUCGAGUGCCGCCAAGCACGGCCAACGACCUGGACGCGUAUGGCAGCGGUGGCGGCGUUCGCCUCGGCAAUUUCGACAUCCGAGUCAAGGAGUGGUGGCGCAAGAACACGACGCUGCACGGGAUCGAACCAGAGGGAUGUGAUCCACCUUGUCCAGAGGGUCAUUUAUGUGUGUGGUUAGGGCUUGUGUAAGUACAAAAGAAGCAGCAGAAGAUUGAAAACAUCAUUCUGUGAGCUGCAUGUAUGUGAUGAUUUUGUGACCAUCAGGAUUGAUUUCUUUUAUUAAGUGGCUCAUCAGAUGUUUGAGAAAAUGGCCAUAAGAGGAUUGAUGAAACUUGAAAGAGGUUGUGGUAUUUCUAGCAGGUUGAGAGGAUAACUCGUGACAGGGUUCAGGUGAAGUGGGAAAGACCCACCAUGACCUGCGAGUUAAUGGUUUUUGGGGGUAUGUACAAUUUAAUGUGUUAUCUCCAUUCAUAGUUUAGUGUACCUAGCUGUUUUCUUUGCAUGUUGAAUAAUAUUGUUGGUACCAGUAGGCCUUUUCCCAGCCCCAGGUAAAUAUCAUGAGGCUACCUGUAAGUUGGAAUCCUACAGCUGCCACCCAUGGCUCAUUUCAAUUAGUAAUUUCAGAGUUAAUUUUCCUGUUGGAGGUGAGAUUUCUAUUGCCGUUUCUACAGCAUGAAUGUUCGGUUUCUAUCAUGGCCAUGGUGUUCAUGUAUGUUUGGAAGAAAACAUAUUCCAUCUUCCUAUCUUAAUAAAACCAGAACCAUCCAUAUAAUAGUCACUUGUGCCACAACAGUUUAGGUUCACAGAGUUUCAAAUUUCUAGCUACACAUAUUUCAUAAGUAUCCACAUCACUAUGGUAUGCAGCAAAAUGAAUACAAUUUGAUAUGGUGCUAUCAACAUGUUCCUUGCAAUAAGUUCUGCUUCUGCUAAUAUACUGCAGCAAACAAUGUUCUAUAUUUAACAAAAUUGCCUAGAUGAUGAUAUGAUCUUUGACAGUGAUUGAUGAUACAUCAAGGAUUACGAAGUUCUGCUUUUCCUAAUAUACUGCAGGAAACAAUGUUGUAUAUUUAAUUUUUUUGCUGAGAUGACGAUAUCUUUGACAGUGAUUGAUGAUACAUCAAGGAUUACGAAGUUCUGCUUCUCCUAA